CGGGUGAGUAACACGUGGGUAACCUGCCCCGAUGAUUGGGACAACCCGAGGAAACUCGGGCUAAUACCGAAUGUGCCCUCUGACCGCAAGGUCGCUGGGGAAAGGAAGCUUCGGCCUCCGCAUCGGGAUGGGCCCGCGGCCCAUUAGCUUGUUGGUGAGGUAACGGCUCACCAAGGAAAAGAUGGGUAGCUGGUCUGAGAGGACGAUCAGCCACACUGGGACUGAGACACGGCCCAG
Molecule: ribosomal RNA, 237 nt
Filed under: uncultured bacterium
Lineage: Bacteria
Description: partial 16S ribosomal RNA
Rfam family: Bacterial small subunit ribosomal RNA
Source: RNAcentral